GACGAACGCUGGCGGCGUGCUUAACACAUGCAAGUCGAACGGAAAGGCCCUGCUUGCAGGGUACUCGAGUGGCGAACGGGUGAGUAACACGUGGGUGAUCUGCCCUGCACUUCGGGAUAAGCCUGGGAAACUGGGUCUAAUACCGGAUAGGAGCCAUUUUUAGUGUGAUGGUUGGAAAGUUUUUUCGGUGUAGGAUGAGCUCGCGGCCUAUCAGCUUGUUGGUGGGGUAAUGGCCUACCAAGGCGGCGACGGGUAGCCGGCCUGAGAGGGUGGACGGCCACAUUGGGACUGAGAUACGGCACAGACUCCUACGGGAGGCAGCAGUGGGGAAUAUUGCACAAUGGGCGCAAGCCUGAUGCAGCGACGCCGCGUGGGGGAUGACGGCCUUCGGGUUGUAAACUCCUUUCGCUAGGGACGAAGCUUUUUGUGACGGUACCUAGAUAAGAAGCACCGGCUAACUACGU
This 464-nucleotide ribosomal RNA is filed under the name uncultured bacterium. RNAcentral describes it as "partial 16S ribosomal RNA". It matches the Rfam family "Bacterial small subunit ribosomal RNA", at positions 28 to 506 of the family's 1533-position model. The record is from RNAcentral.